Molecule: ribosomal RNA, 793 nt
Filed under: uncultured bacterium
Lineage: Bacteria
Description: bacterial SSU rRNA
Rfam family: Bacterial small subunit ribosomal RNA
Source: RNAcentral
AGAGUUUGAUCCUGGCUCAGAUUGAACGCUGGCGGCAUGCCUAACACAUGCAAGUCGAACGGCAGCGCGGGGGCAACCCUGGCGGCGAGUGGCGGACGGGUGAGGAAUACAUAGGAAUCUACCCUGUCGUGGGGGAUAACGUAGGGAAACUUACGCUAAUACCGCAUACGACCGAGAGGUGAAAGCGGCGGACCGCAAGGCGUCGCGCGGCUGGAUGAGCCUAUGUCCGAUUAGCUAGUUGGCGGGGUAAUGGCCCACCAAGGCGACGAUCGGUAGCUGGUCUGAGAGGGUGAUCAGCCACACUGGAACUGAGACACGGUCCAGACUCCUACGGGAGGCAGCAGUGGGGAAUAUUGGACAAUGGGCGCAAGCCUGAUCCAGCAAUGCCGCGUGGGUGAAGAAGGCCUUCGGGUUGUAAAGCCCUUUUGUACGGGAGGAAAUCCUGUCGGUUAAUACCCGGCGGGGAUGACGGUACCGUAAGAAUAAGCACCGGCUAACUUCGUGCCAGCAGCCGCGGUAAUACGAAGGGUGCAAGCGUUAAUCGGAAUUACUGGGCGUAAAGCGUGCGUAGGCGGUUGGCUAAGUCAGAUGUGAAAGCCCUGGGCUCAACCUGGGAAUGGCAUUUGAAACUGGCCGGCUAGAGUGUGAUAGAGGAUGGCGGAAUUCCCGGUGUAGCGGUGAAAUGCGUAGAGAUCGGGAGGAACAUCCGUGGCGAAGGCGGCCAUCUGGAUCAACACUGACGCUGAGGCACGAAAGCGUGGGGAGCAAACAGGAUUAGAUACCCUGGUAGUCC